RNAcentral lists this ribosomal RNA (460 nucleotides) under uncultured bacterium. RNAcentral describes it as "partial 16S ribosomal RNA". It matches the Rfam family "Bacterial small subunit ribosomal RNA", at positions 338 to 795 of the family's 1533-position model. The record is from RNAcentral.
CCUACGGGAGGCAGCAGUGAGGAAUCUUGGUCAAUGGGCGCGAGCCUGAACCAGCCAAGUAGCGUGAAGGAUGACUGCCCUACGGGUUGUAAACCUCUUUUAUGAAGGAAUAAAGUGAAGCACGUGUGCCUUUUUGUAUGUACUUUAUGAAUACGGAUCGGCUAACUCCGUGCCAGCAGCCGCGGUAAUACGGAGGAUCCGAGCGUUAUCCGGAUUUGUUGGGUUUAAAGGUAGCGUAGAUGGGUUGUUAAGUCAGUUGUGAAAGUUUGCGGCUCAACCGUAAAAUUGCAAUUGAUACUGGGAGUCUUGAGUACAGUUGAGGUAGGCGGAAUUCGUGGUGUAGCGGUGAAAUGCUUAGAUAUCACGAAGAACUCCGAUGGCGAAGGCAGCUUACUAAACUGCCACUGACAUUGAUGCUCGAAAGUGUGGGUAUCAAACAGGAUUAGAUACCCUAGUAGUC